Molecule: long non-coding RNA, 1591 nt
Organism: Bos mutus (wild yak)
Lineage: Eukaryota; Metazoa; Chordata; Mammalia; Artiodactyla; Bovidae
Source: Ensembl
UGCAGGCACACUGUCAGCUAUGAGCAGGAGGGACACGCAAGAUGGGGGCCCUGCCUCUCCUAUCAGGCGGGGCAGCAUCAGCUCUCCCCUUCCCUUUUUAUUGUUUCCUGCUGUUUUCCUCUGAUUUCAGUCUGUGGCACACUGGAGGUGUUCUGGAGAGAGGCUGUAGACCAGGCGCUCUAUAAAUGUGACCUUCAUUCUGUAGCAGCAACAGCCCUUGUUAGAAAUGCUCUGGUCCCCACCCAGACCCACUGAAUCAGACUCUGAGGCCCAGCAAUCUGCGUUUUAAGAAGCCCUUCCUUCAUUGGGCUUCCCUGAUAGCUCCCUCAUUGAGCUUCCCUGGUAACUUCCCUCACUGGGCUUCCAUGAUAGCUCAGUUGGUAAAGAAUCUGCCUGCCAUGCAGGAGACCCUGGUUCAAUUCCUAGGUUGGAGAAGAUCCCUGGAGAAGGGAUAGGCUACCCACUCCAGUAUUCUGGCCUGGAGAAUUCCAUGGACUAUACAGUUGGACACAACUGAGUGCCUUUCACUUUCUUUUUUUUAUUAUUAUUUUUUUACUUUACAAUAUUGUAUUGGUUUUGCCAUACAUCAACAUGCAUCCGCCACAGGUGUACACAUGUUCCCCAUCCUGAACCCCCCUCCCACCUCCCUCCCCAUACCAUCCCUCUGGGUCACUUUUCAUUUUCAGAGGAUUCUGAUAAAAGUUUGAGAACCACCCAUGUAGAUGCUUGUCAGGGUGGAGGAGUGAGAAUAUCAGAGCCUGCCAGCGAUGAUCCUUCCAAGACUGUCAUUGCUGGGGCUCUAGGGAAACGCCAGGAAAGAAUUUUCUUGCUGUCACUCUGUUUGUGAAAGUCCACAGAGUUACACCUUGAGCAUCCACAGCCUCCCACCCCUUGCCACCUCACCUGGCCUCCUGCUACCCGGGAUGGCCUUACUCUCAGCUGAGCAGCAGGAAUCAGGGCUGCCCGCAGAGUGGGAAUCAGAACCAUGUCCUUAAUCAGAAGUGUGUCAGGAACCCCAGGGCUUGGGGCUGCAUUCAGGAAGGAGGGACAGAACUGGCUGCUUACUUCCCAACUGACCUGAGGCUCUCCUGGGGACUGAACCCCUCAAAGCUCCUGCCUGGAACCAGCACCCUCUGCUGCAGAAAGGGAAUCUCUCCCAGGCCUCUGUCAACCCUCCCCAGAGCAUGUCUUCACCUCGAGGCUAGGAGAGGCCCCGGUUCAAGUGCAGAGACACCCCAGAGAGAAUGCUCCCAGCCUAGUUUGGGACCUGGGACCUGUACCCUCAUGUCUCGACAAGACGAGAAGAUCUGAGCUCUAUGAAGUUGAUUCAGUUGGCUGCAGGCUGUAACCCCCUUCAGUACAUCACCAGGUCAUGGUUCCCAAACUUGGCUGCAUGUUGGAAUCACCUGGGGAUCUUUAAAAACUACUGUUCCCACUCCCAGCCCCAGAUGUUCUGAUUUAAUUGGCAUAGGGUGUGACCUGGCCACCGGAGUGUUUAAAUUCCCCCAGGUGAUUCUAAUGUGCACACAAGUUUGGGAGCCAAUGAACAAGUUCUCCUGAGACCAAGCCCAGCUCAUAUUCUAAUGUUUAG